AUCGCACAGAAGCAAAGAUAUGAUCAAUAUUGCUGAGCCGCUUCAGAUGAUACGUAUGGAUUUCUACGGAUCAGUUAAUGUCAUGUCUACAACAAAGCCAAAUAUCUUUUUGCGAAGAUCACUGACUACUCUAGAUUCUUUCGUGUUGUUCGUAUGUGUUCGAAGGACAAGACGUCACAAAUGAAGGUUGAUCAAGAUGAACCCUGAUCAUUGAUAAAUCCAGAAAGACACCAUUCUUUCCAGUGAUCAAUCAGAAGCAAACACUAACUCUUGGUAUGUGUUUGGAGGAAAAUGCCUCUUUGC
Molecule: long non-coding RNA, 303 nt
Filed under: Daucus carota (carrot)
Lineage: Eukaryota; Viridiplantae; Streptophyta; Magnoliopsida; Apiales; Apiaceae
Description: long non-coding RNA (DCAR_LNC006758)
Source: RNAcentral